GAUGAGCGCUGGCGGCGUGCUUAACACAUGCAAGUCGAACGGACUUUACAUGAAGCCUAGCGAUUGUAAAGUUAGUGGCGGACGGGUGAGUAACGCGUGGGUAACCUGCCUUGUACAGGGGGAUAACAGUUAGAAAUAGCUGCUAAUACCGCAUAAGCGCACAGCUUCGCAUGAAGCAGUGUGAAAAACUCCGGUGGUACAAGAUGGACCCGCGUCUGAUUAGCUAGUUGGUGAGGUAACGGCCCACCAAGGCGACGAUCAGUAGCCGGCCUGAGAGGGUGGACGGCCACAUUGGGACUGAGACACGGCCCAA
RNAcentral lists this ribosomal RNA (313 nucleotides) under uncultured bacterium. RNAcentral's name for it is "bacterial SSU rRNA". It matches the Rfam family "Bacterial small subunit ribosomal RNA", at positions 28 to 334 of the family's 1533-position model. The record is from RNAcentral.